UGUAGCUCAGUGGAACAGCACAUACCUAGCAUGUGUGAGGCACUGGGUUCAAUUUCUUUAAAAAGAUUAAAAGUCCAUUGACAAGGAAAAAAAAAUAUUUAAAAGAAGGUAAGGUCAAGAGUCUAUCUAUUUCUCACCUUUCAAUGGAGUUGAAGGAGAAAAUAAGGAAUCCCUUACCUCUAGAAUCUUGGAUAAAUGGGGAAGAAGAUGAAGUUUAAAUUCAAUACAACUGUAAACUGGAAAAAUCAGGAAUUCUGGGAAAGUAGGGAAUUCAAGAAAGCACAGGAUCCAAGGAAAAACUACAGAUGCCAGUUGUGGGGGAAAAAAAAAGUACCAUACAAGAGAGAAACCCACUUAAGAGACCAGGAUUUUUUCUCAAACAAAUCUAGCUUACAGGAGGUUAAAACUCCAUGUGGUUAUUCAAAGAUUCAUAAAACCCUACAACGAAAACCAUACCAUUCAAUUUUCCAUACCAUUAUGGCAAUUUACCACCCUUUGAGACCCUCUGUCAAACAUCUGUAAACUCUAGGAAAAUAACAAAAAUACAAGUAGCUGAAGAUACAGAAAGGUAAGAAAAGGCAGGAAGAUUAUGGAGGGGAAACAAAACUCAAAGAAGAAUCUAG
RNAcentral lists this long non-coding RNA (623 nucleotides) under Marmota monax (woodchuck). The record is from RNAcentral. Lineage: Eukaryota; Metazoa; Chordata; Mammalia; Rodentia; Sciuridae.